This 497-nucleotide ribosomal RNA is filed under the name uncultured bacterium. Its description in RNAcentral is "partial 16S ribosomal RNA". It matches the Rfam family "Bacterial small subunit ribosomal RNA", at positions 28 to 506 of the family's 1533-position model. The record is from RNAcentral.
GAUGAACGCUGGCGGCGUGCCUAAUACAUGCAAGUCGAGCGAACGCACGAUAAGCUUGCUUCUCUGCUGUUAGCGGCGGACGGGUGAGUAACACGUGGAUAACCUACCUAUAAUACUGGGAUAACUUCGUGAAACCGGAGCUAAUACCAGAUAAUAUUUUGAACCGCAUGAUUCAAAAGUGAAACACAGUUUUGCUGUCACUUUUAGCUGUAUCCGCGGUGCCUUAGCUAGUUGGUAAGGUAACAGCUUACCAAGGCAACGAUGCAUAGCCGACCUGAACGGGUGAUUGGCCCACACGGAAAUUAGGACCGGGCCCAGACCCUAAGGGGGGGCGGAGUAGGGAAUCAUCCGCCAUUGGCGAAAGGCGUAAGGCGGAACGCCCGGUGAGGGAAGAAGGUCUUCGGAUCUUAAAACUCCGUUAUUAGGGAAGAACAUAUGUCUAAGUAACUGUGCACAUCUCGACCGUACCUAAUAAGAAAGGCACGGCUAAACUCCGU